Molecule: ribosomal RNA, 460 nt
Filed under: uncultured bacterium
Lineage: Bacteria
Description: partial 16S ribosomal RNA
Rfam family: Bacterial small subunit ribosomal RNA
Source: RNAcentral
CCUACGUGAGGCAGCAGUGAGGAAUAUUGGUCAAUGGGCUUACGCCUGAACCAGCCAAGUCGCGUGAGGGAAGACUGCCCUAUGGGUUGUAAACCUCUUUUGUCAGGGAGCAACGCCGGCUACGUGUAGCCGGACUGAGAGUACCUGAAGAAAAAGCAUCGGCUAACUCCGUGCCAGCAGCCGCGGUAAUACGGGGGAUGCGACCGUUAUCCGGAUUUAUUGGGUUUAAGGGGUGCGUAGGCGGAAUGCCAAGUCAGCGGUAAAAUCGCGGGGCUCAACCUCGCUCCGCCGUUGAAACUGGCGUUCUUGAGUGGGCGAGAAGUAUGCGGAAUGCGUGGUGUAGCGGUGAAAUGCAUAGAUAUCACGCAGAACUCCGAUUGCGAAGGCAGCAUACCGGCGCCCAACUGACGCUGAAGCACGAAAGCGUGGGUAUCGAACAGGAUUAGAUACCCGGGUAGUC